UGGGGAAUUUUGGACAAUGGGGGAAACCCUGAUCCAGCCAUCCCGCGUGUGCGAUGAAGGCCUUCGGGUUGUAAAGCACUUUUGGCAGGAAAGAAACGUCAUGGGUUAAUACCCCGUGAAACUGACGGUACCUGCAGAAUAAGCACCGGCUAACUACGUGCCAGCAGCCGCGGUAAUACGUAGGGUGCAAGCGUUAAUCGGAAUUACUGGGCGUAAAGCGUGCGCAGGCGGUUCGGAAAGAAAGAUGUGAAAUCCCAGAGCUCAACUUUGGAACUGCAUUUUUAACUACCGGGCUAGAGUGUGGCAGAGGGAGGUGGAAUUCCGCGUGUAGCAGUGAAAUGCGUAGAUAUGCGGAGGAACACCGAUGGCGAAGGCAGCCUCCUGGGAUAACACUGACGCUCAUGCACGAAAGCGUGGGGAGCAAACAG
RNAcentral lists this ribosomal RNA (428 nucleotides) under Acidobacteriota bacterium. RNAcentral describes it as "Acidobacteria bacterium partial 16S ribosomal RNA". It matches the Rfam family "Bacterial small subunit ribosomal RNA", at positions 355 to 775 of the family's 1533-position model. The record is from RNAcentral. Lineage: Bacteria; Pseudomonadati; Acidobacteriota.